CAGGCUGCUCAAUGCUAAAGGCCACGUCCUGUAGAGAGAUACCAAGUGUUCUGGGAUGCCCUGCAGGCCCAGCCCUGGACUGAAGCAGGAAGCGCACAUAGAUAAACACCUUCAUCUGCAAGGUAUUAUAUCUUUUAAAUUUUGAAGGUUUGUGGCAGGCUGGCAUUGGGAAAGUCCACUGAUGUCCUCUCUCCCCGUAUCAGAUGACAACCACAUUUCAGCACUGAAAUAGCUUGAUUACAGUAACCUGAAUUUACACACAGGAAAUGGCCAGCCAGCUGGGGCUG
Psammomys obesus (fat sand rat) is the source of this 287-nucleotide long non-coding RNA. RefSeq lists it as uncharacterized. Lineage: Eukaryota; Metazoa; Chordata; Mammalia; Rodentia; Muridae. The record is from RefSeq and is a predicted model, not a curated record. The transcript has 3 exons.